This 253-nucleotide ribosomal RNA is filed under the name Victivallis vadensis ATCC BAA-548. RNAcentral describes it as "partial 16S ribosomal RNA". It matches the Rfam family "Bacterial small subunit ribosomal RNA", at positions 524 to 776 of the family's 1533-position model. The record is from RNAcentral. Lineage: Bacteria; Pseudomonadati; Lentisphaerota; Lentisphaeria; Victivallales; Victivallaceae.
UACGUAGGUGGCGAGCGUUGUUCGGAUUCAUUGGGCGUAAAGGGUCCGCAGGUGGUUUGAUAAGUCUGACGUGAAAUACCGGAGCUCAACUCCGGAACUGCGUUGGAGACUGUUGAACUAGAGUAUCGGAGAGGAAAUUGGAAUUCCAGGUGUAGCGGUGGAAUGCGUAGAUAUCUGGAAGAACAUCGAAAGCGAAGGCAGAUUUCUGGACGAUGACUGACACUCAGGGACGAAAGCAUGGGGAGCAAACAGG